GCAAUCAUACGCGCACUAAUACACCGGAUCCCAUCAGAACUCUGCAAUUAAUCGUGCUUGGUCGACAGUAGUACUAGGAUGCGUGUUCCCCUGGGAAUCCCUCGUGCUGCACCCU
Molecule: non-coding RNA, 115 nt
Organism: Ilex paraguariensis (yerba mate)
Lineage: Eukaryota; Viridiplantae; Streptophyta; Magnoliopsida; Aquifoliales; Aquifoliaceae
Source: the annotation of a GenBank genome assembly